Molecule: small RNA, 537 nt
Filed under: Pan troglodytes (chimpanzee)
Lineage: Eukaryota; Metazoa; Chordata; Mammalia; Primates; Hominidae
Description: processed transcript
Source: RNAcentral
GGUGAUUUGCUUUGAACAUAUGAAUUUUGCAAGAGACACAAACAUUCAGACAAUAGAAGACACUGUCUUGCCUUCAGGCUAUUUUUAUGAUUCCCACAAAUCCACCACCAACAUUCAGAAAGCCAGAACUUUGGUCCGAUGAUUUCACCGAUUUUGUUAAAAAGUGUUUGGUGAAGAAUCCUGAGCAGAGAGCUACUGCAACACAACUUUUACAGCAUCCUUUUAUCAAGAAUGCAAAACCUGUAUCAAUAUUAAGAGACCUGAUCACAGAAGCUAUGGAGAUCAAAGCUAAAAGACAUGAGGAACAGCAACGAGAAUUGGAAGAGGAAGAAGAAAAUUCGGAUGAAGAUGAGCUGGAUUCCCACACCAUGGUGAAGACUAGUGUGGAGAGUGUGGGCACCAUGCGGGCCACAAGCACGAUGAGUGAAGGGGCCCAGACCAUGAUUGAACAUAAUAGCACGAUGUUGGAAUCCGACUUGGGGACCAUGGUGAUAAACAGUGAGGAUGAGGAAGAAGAAGAUGGAACUAUGAAAAGUA